AUGGAAGAUGCAGGGAUGGAGUUCCUCCUCGAUGCCGUUGACAGGUUCCCACUAGUUGAGGAAUUCGCGGACAGCCAUGAGCACCCAAAUCUGGUUCCUCUGGUUUUGUUGGCGAGCGGCGGAGUAGGAGAUGCAGUCCCUGGUGUAUCCAGUGCUGGCUCUGGUUGUGUUCAGCAAAUCGGCGGCCACGGAAAUGGCGAUGCGCGUGCUGGGGUCCAACGACGACCGGAGUCAUCCUCAACGAGGUCUGCGCAGUCGACUCAAGAGUCAAUCCGUAGGCCCCUGGGUGGACGAAAAGGUAGUGUGAGAACAAGGAUUCCUUUACCAUUCUCUGGGUACUCAUUUGAAAUUAUAGAUUGCUCGGAAGUUUCAGACUUGUCUUAG
This 384-nucleotide ribosomal RNA is filed under the name Triticum aestivum (bread wheat). RNAcentral's name for it is "partial small subunit ribosomal RNA". The record is from RNAcentral. Lineage: Eukaryota; Viridiplantae; Streptophyta; Magnoliopsida; Poales; Poaceae.